This 377-nucleotide long non-coding RNA is filed under the name Fukomys damarensis (Damara mole-rat). Its description in RNAcentral is "lncRNA (ENSFDAG00000023206.1)". Lineage: Eukaryota; Metazoa; Chordata; Mammalia; Rodentia; Bathyergidae. The record is from RNAcentral.
AGCUACGCCACACUGUUUGUGGUGACUCGGGAGACGAGAAGCAGCUCGGUGCUGUGUUCCUGUGAGAGUGUCGCCGACACUAGGGAGACAGGUAAAUCUCUUGGUGCUGAAAUCAGAUCGGAGAGGAGGAUCCGCUCCAGAUGCAACUUGCCAGCCUCCGGCUUCUUUCUCCGAGGGAGAACACUGGGGAGCAUGGCAGUACUGAUGAUUGUGUUGAAGUUGAACAUAAAUACAUCUGAAAGAGUGUACAAGAUGGUGAAGUUUCUCACAUGCGUGUGAGAUUAGCAUAAGUAUGACAUCGUCAUAUGCAUAUGACAUGAAGCAAUAAACACAGCGUGUGGGCCUCUGAAUGCUCAAUAAAUGAAAUUUUCAAUCAG